RNAcentral lists this ribosomal RNA (485 nucleotides) under uncultured bacterium. Its description in RNAcentral is "bacterial SSU rRNA". It matches the Rfam family "Bacterial small subunit ribosomal RNA", at positions 28 to 513 of the family's 1533-position model. The record is from RNAcentral.
GACGAACGCUGGCGGCGUGCUUAACACAUGCAAGUCGAACGAGAAUCUGCAGAAAGAGGAUUCGUCCAAUUGAAGCAGAGGACAGUGGCGGACGGGUGAGUAACGCGUGAGGAACCUGCCUUUCAGAGGGGGACAACAGUUGGAAACGACUGCUAAUACCGCAUGACACAUCGGAGUCGCAUGGCUCUGAUGUCAAAGAUUUAUCGCUGAAAGAUGGCCUCGCGUCUGAUUAGCUAGUUGGUGAGGUAACGGCCCACCAAGGCGACGAUCAGUAGCCGGACUGAGAGGUUGAACGGCCACAUUGGGACUGAGAUACGGCCCAGGACUCCUACGGGAGGCAGCAGUGGGGAAUAUUGGGCAAUGGGCGCAAGCCUGACCCAGCAACGCCGCGUGAAGGAGAAGGCUUUCGGGUUGUAAACUUCUUUGUCAGGGACGAGUAGAAGACGGUACCUGACGAAUAAGCCACGGCUAACUACGUGCCAGCA